RNAcentral lists this ribosomal RNA (403 nucleotides) under uncultured bacterium. RNAcentral describes it as "partial 16S ribosomal RNA". It matches the Rfam family "Bacterial small subunit ribosomal RNA", at positions 28 to 526 of the family's 1533-position model. The record is from RNAcentral.
GACGAACGCUGGCGGCGUGCCUAAUACAUGCAAGUCGAACGCAGUGGGGACGGGUGAGUAACACGUGGGUAACCUCCCAUCAGAGGGGAUAACACUUGGAAACAGGUGCUAAACCGAUACUGAUGGAUGGACCCGCGGUGCAUUAGGUAGUUGGUGAGGUAACGGCUCACCAAGGCCACGAUGCAUACUCGACUGUAUGGGUGGAUCGGCCCCAGUGGAAUUUAGACCCGGCCCAGCCUCCUAUGUGAGGCAGCAGGAGGGAAUUUUCGGAAAUUGACGAAAGUCUGACCGAGCAACGCCGCGUGAGUGAAGAGGGUUUUCGGAUCGUAAAACUCUGUUGUUAGAGAAGCGGUAUCUAACCAGAAAGCCACGGCUAACUACGUGCCAGCAGCCGCGGUAAUAC